UUAAUCUUCUUUACAUAGUUCUUGCCAGCUCAUGCUCUGGCAUGGCAGGCUGCCUUUUUAACUUGAUUAGUGGCUUUCAUCACAGCCUCACUGGGAGGGGAGUCGAGGCUGGGGCGCGAGAUGAGGCAGUUGGGGAAAUAAUGCUGCUUUUCCAUCUGGGCUCCAGCGGGCCCUUGUGGAUGAAACCUAUCAAUCAUGUGAAAAAGGUUUAUCAGUGCUGCCAGAGCUGAGGAAAGAAUACGAGUUGUUCCCACCCGUGUUAUUAGCCCACCCUGUGGGCGCAGGGCUGAGGCCCGUCAGGAGUGCCCAGGAGGAAGGCUGCCACGGGUUGUGGUGGCCAUGGAGGUGCAGAGCCCUGAGCUGCUGCUGCCCCAUGGCCAUAGAUGGCAGUGCUGGACAGGCCUGCAAGGCCGCACCACAGGAGCAACAGCCCAGAGGGGUGGCUUUGUGGGCAGUCCUCAAACACUCCAAGCAGUCCUCUUCUGCCUCCCCGAAUCCUUCCUUGUCUUUAAAGACAACUCCAGAGUGCCAUUCAAGCUGUGGCACCCUGAGUGCUGUCCCUGCCAAGUGGGUGCUGCUCCCUGUCACGACAUGGCCCAGCCCGUGGUGUGGAUGCGGACAAAGGCCAGUCAGCUCUCACUGGGCCAAGCUCACAGAAGCAGUCAGGGGUGCCAAUUUAAUGCGAUACGGUACACUGCUUUACUCAAAUAAGGCCCGAUCCUACAGAAGUUCACCUUCAUUGCCACAAAGGACAGCAGAAUCACACCUGCAGCUGUUGAGCACAGGGCUGCAGGGUACUUCAGUCCCUGGACACUGAGGAAAGGCAAUUGAAUUGAACGAUCACAAAACAUCCUCUUGGACUGGAAGAGAUGUUGUAUGGCAAGAGAAAGAGGUUGGGUUCUAACAGCACAAAGACAGCUGAUCUCUGAUGAUAAAGUGACUUGUCAAUAGUGUGUUAAACAUUUUUUUAAAUAGUGGUUAAUGCCAGUGAGCUCCUUUUUCCUCUCUUGUUCCCAUCCAGCACAGAUCAAAAUCGUUGACCCAUUAAAGAAGGAAAGAUAUUCACAAGAGAAUGCCUUGCGGUGUCUUCUGGGAUGCAGUGUGGUCUCUGCCUUUAACAAUGCACAGCAGCGACGGCUCUUGUGCAGGUUACAGGAAGUUCUUAAAUAGGAAUGAAUGACAAACAAAGAGCCUAUUGAGUCUGCAACAGGGUACGUUUCUCAUCAUGUGAAUGUUUCAUGUUUGCCUGAGGAAAAUGGCUAUGUGAUUCACUGUAGGUGAACUGCUGUUAAUACAUUUGGUUAGAAAAUUAAAAUUUGGAAACUUAUUUUUCAUCUUUC
RNAcentral lists this long non-coding RNA (1340 nucleotides) under Anas platyrhynchos platyrhynchos (common mallard). RNAcentral's name for it is "lncRNA (ENSAPLG00000018184.1)". The record is from RNAcentral. Lineage: Eukaryota; Metazoa; Chordata; Aves; Anseriformes; Anatidae.